CCUACGGGAGGCUGCAGUGAGGAAUAUUGGUCAAUGGGCGCGAGCCUGAACCAGCCAAGUCGCGUGAGGGAAGACGGUCCUAUGGAUUGUAAACCUCUUUUGUCGGGGAGCAAAAGACGCCACGCGUGGCGUUCCGAGAGUACCCGAAGAAAAAGCAUCGGCUAACUCCGUGCCAGCAGCCGCGGUAAUACGGAGGAUGCGAGCGUUAUCCGGAUUUAUUGGGUUUAAAGGGUGCGCAGGCGGAAGGUCAAGUCAGCGGUAAAAUUGAGAGGCUCAACCUCUUCGAGCCGUUGAAACUGGUUGUCUUGAGUGAGUGAGAAGUAUGCGGAAUGCGUGGUGUAGCGGUGAAAUGCAUAGAUAUCACGCAGAACUCCGAUUGCGAAGGCAGCAUACCGGCGCUCAACUGACGCUCUUGCACGAAAGUGUGGGUAUCGAACAGGAUUAGAUACCCUGGUAGUC
RNAcentral lists this ribosomal RNA (459 nucleotides) under uncultured bacterium. RNAcentral describes it as "partial 16S ribosomal RNA". It matches the Rfam family "Bacterial small subunit ribosomal RNA", at positions 338 to 795 of the family's 1533-position model. The record is from RNAcentral.